Molecule: ribosomal RNA, 253 nt
Filed under: uncultured bacterium
Lineage: Bacteria
Description: partial 16S ribosomal RNA
Rfam family: Bacterial small subunit ribosomal RNA
Source: RNAcentral
UACGGAAGGGGCAAGCGUUGUUCGGAAUCAUUGGGCGUAAAGGGCGCGUAGGUGGUUCUGUAUGUCUGCCGUGAAAGCGUACGGCUCAACCGUAUUUUGUCGGUAGAAACUGCAGGACUUGAGGCUGGGAGGGGCUGGUGGAAUUCCCUGUGUAGCGGUGAAAUGCGUAGAGAUGGGGGAGAACACUCGUGGCGAAGGCGGCCAGCUAGACCAGUUCUGACACUGAGGCGCGACAGCGUGGGUAGCAAACAGG